AGGAAAUGAAUGCAACGACUCCUGUCCAGCUCAGGAGGGGGAAGAUUUAAAAAAGAAAGUUGUUAAGAGGGAACCUGAGACACACUGCUCAUUCUUGCUGAGCUUCCUGUGGAACAUCUCCUCCCAACGAACUGAGGCACUCACCUCCCCACCCCUUCUCUUAACUUCUGUCUGACGUAAAAUCUGUUGCACUCUUCCACAUCCAUCCAGCCCAGAGCUUCGUAUUUGUAUUCAUAUCAUGCACAAGUGAAUGACAUAAAGGGCCCAAACAAUUACCAAGAAUUGCAUCAAGGCCAGG
This 298-nucleotide long non-coding RNA is filed under the name Gallus gallus (chicken). Lineage: Eukaryota; Metazoa; Chordata; Aves; Galliformes; Phasianidae. The record is from RNAcentral.